CGGACGGGUGAGUAACGCGUGAGAAUCUACCUUCAGGACGGGGAUAACAGUGGGAAACGCUGCUAAGACCCGAUAGACCCGAGCGGGUAAAGAUUUACGCCUGAAGAUGAGCUCGCGUCCGAUUAGUUAGUUGGUGGGGUAAAGGCCUACCAAGACGCGAUCGGUAGCUGGUCUGAGAGGACGACCAGCCACACUGGGACUGAGACACGGCCCAGCUCCUACGGGAGGCAGCAGUGGGGAAUUUUCCGCAAUGGGCGCAAGCCUGACGGAGCAAACCGCGUGCGGGAGGACAGUCCAUCGGAUUGUAAACCGCUUUUCUCUGGGAAGAUGUGACGGUACCAGAGGAAUCAGCAUCGGCUAACUCCGUCCAGCAGCCGCGGUAAGACGGAGGAUGCAAGCGUUAUCCGGAAUUAUUGGGCGUAAAGGUCCGCAGGUGGUUUCUCAAGUCGGCAGUCAAAGACCGGAGCUUAACUUCGGAAAGGCUGGGAAACUGAGAGACUAGAGAGAGGUAGGGGUAAGGGGAAUUCCCGGUGUAGCGGUGAAAGCGUAGAGCUCGGGAAGAACACCGGUGGCGAAAGCGCCUUACUGGACCUCAUCUGACAUCAGGGACGAAAGCUAGGGGAGCGAAAGGGAUUAGAUACCCCGGUAGU
This 650-nucleotide ribosomal RNA is filed under the name uncultured cyanobacterium. RNAcentral describes it as "bacterial SSU rRNA". It matches the Rfam family "Bacterial small subunit ribosomal RNA", at positions 99 to 794 of the family's 1533-position model. Lineage: Bacteria; Bacillati; Cyanobacteriota. The record is from RNAcentral.